UACGUAGGGAGCAAGCGUUGUCCGGAAUCAUUGGGCGUAAAGCGCACGUAGGCGGCUCGUUAAGUCGGAUGUGAAAGCCCUGGGCUCAACCCAGGAAGUGCAUACGAAACUGGCGAGCUUGAGUAUGGAAGAGGGUCGCGGAAUUCCCGGUGUAGAGGUGAAAUUCGUAGAUAUCGGGAGGAACACCAGUGGCGAAGGCGGCGACCUGGGCCAAUACUGACGCUGAGGUGCGAAAGCGUGGGGAGCAAACAGG
This 253-nucleotide ribosomal RNA is filed under the name uncultured bacterium. Its description in RNAcentral is "partial 16S ribosomal RNA". It matches the Rfam family "Bacterial small subunit ribosomal RNA", at positions 524 to 776 of the family's 1533-position model. The record is from RNAcentral.